CGAACGGAGUUAUCAUUUUUGAAGCAAAUAGCUUGCUAGGAGUGGAGAUAUUGAUAACUUAGUGGCGGACGGGUGAGUAACGCGUGGGUAACCUGCCGUAUACAGGGGGAUAACACUUAGAAAUAGGUGCUAAUACCGCAUAAGCGCACGGUUCCGCAUGGGACAGUGUGAAAAACCGAGGUGGUAUACGAUGGACCCGCGUCUGAUUAGCCAGUUGGCAGGGUAACGGCCUACCAAAACGACGAUCAGUAGCCGGCCUGAGAGGGCGGACGGCCACAUUGGGACUGAGACACGGCCCAAACUCCUACGGGAGGCAGCAGUGGGGGAUAUUGCACAAUGGGGGAAACCCUGAUGCAGCGACGCCGCGUGAGUGAAGAAGUAUUUCGGUAUGUAAAGCUCUAUCAGCAGGGAAGAAGAUGACAGUACCUGAGUAGGAAGCCCCGGCUAACUACGUGCCAGCAGCCGCGGUAAUACGUAGGGGGCAAGCGUUAUCCGGAUUUACUGGGUGUAAAGGGAGCGUAGACGGAUGGAUAAGUCUGAAGUGAAAGCCCGCGGCUCAACUGCGGGACUGCUUUGGGAACUGUGCAUCUUGAGUACGGGAGGGGCAGGCGGAAUUCCUGGU
RNAcentral lists this ribosomal RNA (622 nucleotides) under uncultured bacterium. Its description in RNAcentral is "bacterial SSU rRNA". It matches the Rfam family "Bacterial small subunit ribosomal RNA", at positions 36 to 674 of the family's 1533-position model. The record is from RNAcentral.